CGGCGCGAUGGACGAGGCGUUGGAGGCCAUCUUCCCUGAAACGGCACAUCAUGGUGACUCCCAAUCCAAUCCCGAAAUGCAGGGAAGACCGACGUCGCGUGGCGCCAUUGAUGAUGCAAUCCGGAAUUGCCGGUAAUGAUUUUACUACCAGUUACAUCACCCAGGCCUCCUGUAUUGCCAACAAAUGCAGGGAUGGAAACUAUGGCAAGGUCUUCGGUCUCCUUUAGCCACUGAUAGCAGGAUCGACGGUAUUGUCGAUGCGUGGAACUUGUGGAUGGAGAUGAUGACAAAGGAAAUUAAGGCAAGCGAUCACGAUAAAGUUAAAAGCUGUACCACGAGAUGUGCAGAAGGAGAUUCACCGAUACCACAGUGAGCUGCAAUACCAUGAUUGAUUUCGUGAUUGUGAAUGCAUGGGCGGGUGGGAGACGAAGUUCAUGUGUUUGAGGAAGCGCCCAAAAGGAAGGAAUCAAGCAUGAUGUUAUCCCCUGUAACGGACUGAUGUUUUCCGAAAGGAGGACAGGAUAGCCAAAGACAUGAAGCUCCUAUGAGAAGAUGCAAUUGAUGGAUCACCCAGCAGCCUAUUGUUUCAACACAUACACACACCAUUGAUCUGGGAAAUUUGUGAACAGUUCUGAAUGCCAUUCUUAAUGUUGGUUGCUCCCUAGAAAUUUGAUCCUGCUAUUUGCUUGUCAGUCAACUAUGCCAAGAGAAUUGGAGGCAUGCUGCAUUGCAGCUAGAGGAAAUAGUGGGGAGCAAAUAGUCAAUGCCUCAGGGACCUUGCUGCUGCUAUUGUGGCUGAUGCUAUCUCUGCAUCCAUUAUAUCACUGAAGGAUGAAGUCUGAAGCAGUUGGUCAUAUCCAUUAUAUUAUUCAUCUCCCUGGAAACCAUUCAGGGAGCUGUUCUGCUGGACCCAUGUUUCUUGGGCUUAUUAUCCAGGCGCUCAGACAGUCUGCAACCGGUGAGCUGGUUCAUUCAUUUCUUUGCCAUUUUGGGCUCCGAUCGACGCAGGCGAUGGACACCUCAUGAAUUCGAGCAGAAGGUGCUGCUGCUGCUACUGCUUGAACAUGAGCCAUGUGAAGCGGACGGAACUCCCAACAAUUCCAUCAAUAUAAUACCGCUACCCAAAGAUUAAUAGUCUUGCAAUGAUGUGGUUGUCUCUUCCUAUUCACUGAUAGCUCUGUUCUACUUGUAUCCUCUGUAUACAUGUCUAACAACACCUCCACGUUCAUCUCUUACCGGAUAUGAAUUCUCUUGCUUCGGCAGGUGCAGGAUGAUCUCUACUACAGUUUAA
Long non-coding RNA from Musa acuminata AAA Group (dessert banana), 1291 nucleotides. RefSeq lists it as uncharacterized. Lineage: Eukaryota; Viridiplantae; Streptophyta; Magnoliopsida; Zingiberales; Musaceae. The record is from RefSeq and is a predicted model, not a curated record. The transcript has 3 exons.